GAUCAUGGCUCAGAUUGAACGCUGGCGGAAUGCUUUACACAUGCAAGUCGAACGGUAGAGGGGGCAACCCCUUGAGAGUGGCGAACGGGUGAGUAAUAUAUCGGAACGUGCCCAGUCGUGGGGGAUAACGUAGCGAAAGUUACGCUAAUACCGCAUACGAUCUAAGGAUGAAAGCAGGGGAUCGCAAGACCUUGCGUUAUACGAGCGGCCGAUGUCAGAUUAGCUAGUUGGUGAGGUAAAGGCUCACCAAGGCGACGAUCUGUAGCGGGUCUGAGAGGAUGAUCCGCCACACUGGGACUGAGACACGGCCCAGACUCCUACGGGAGGCAGCAGUGGGGAAUUUUGGACAAUGGGGGCAACCCUGAUCCAGCCAUGCCGCGUGAGUGAAGAAGGCCUUCGGGUUGUAAAGCUCUUUCGGCCGGGAAGAAAUCGCACAGGCUAAUACUCUGUGUGGAUGACGGUACCGGCAUAAGAAGCACCGGCUAACUACGUG
This 493-nucleotide ribosomal RNA is filed under the name uncultured bacterium. RNAcentral's name for it is "bacterial SSU rRNA". It matches the Rfam family "Bacterial small subunit ribosomal RNA", at positions 15 to 507 of the family's 1533-position model. The record is from RNAcentral.